CAGCCGCCGCGGGAACACGAAGGGUGCAAGCGUUACUCGGAAUUACUGGGCGUAAAGCGUGUGUAGGUGGUUGUUUAAGUCUGUCGUGAAAGCCCUGGGCUCAACCUGGGAAUUGCGAUGGAUACUGGGCGACUAGAGUGCGGUAGAGGAUAGUGGAAUUUCCGGUGUAGCAGUGAAAUGCGUAGAGAUCGGAAGGAACAUCUGUGGCGAAGGCGACUAUCUGGGCCAACACUGACACUGAGACACGAAAGCGUGGGGAGCAAACAGGAUUAGAUACCCGGGUAGUCCCUGUCUCUUAUAC
Molecule: ribosomal RNA, 301 nt
Filed under: uncultured bacterium
Lineage: Bacteria
Description: partial 16S ribosomal RNA
Rfam family: Bacterial small subunit ribosomal RNA
Source: RNAcentral